RNAcentral lists this ribosomal RNA (468 nucleotides) under uncultured bacterium. RNAcentral describes it as "partial 16S ribosomal RNA". It matches the Rfam family "Bacterial small subunit ribosomal RNA", at positions 28 to 507 of the family's 1533-position model. The record is from RNAcentral.
GACGAACGCUGGCGGCGUGCUUAACACAUGCAAGUCGAACGGAAAGGCCCUGCUUUUGUGGGGUGCUCGAGUGGCGAACGGGUGAGUAACACGUGAGUAACCUGCCCUUGACUUUGGGAUAACUUCAGGAAACUGGGGCUAAUACCGGAUAGGAGCUCCUGCUGCAUGGUGGGGGUUGGAAAGUUUCGGCGGUUGGGCAUGGACUCGCGGCUUAUCAGCUUGUUGGUGGGGUGGUGGCUUACCAAGGCUUUGACGGGUAGCCGGCCUGAGAGGGUGACCGGCCACAUUGGGACUGAGAUACGGCCCAGACUCCUACGGGAGGCAGCAGUGGGGAAUAUUGCACAAUGGGCGGAACCCUGAUGCAGCAACGCCGCGUGCGGGAUGACGGCCUUCGGGUUGUAAACCGCUUUCGCCUGUGACGAAGCGUGAGUGACGGUAAUGGGUAAAGAAGCACCGGCUCACUACGUG